Tupaia belangeri chinensis (Chinese tree shrew) is the source of this 1088-nucleotide long non-coding RNA. RefSeq lists it as uncharacterized. The transcript is spliced from 4 exons. Lineage: Eukaryota; Metazoa; Chordata; Mammalia; Scandentia; Tupaiidae. The record is from RefSeq and is a predicted model, not a curated record.
AGCGCCCGGACGUGCUGCAGGGGAGGGGAGGGCGGGCUCGGGAACGUGGUGCCCCGGAGCCCGACUGUCCGGGAGGCGAGCGGGGCAGCACUUUCUCGGGGAAAGGCCGGACAGCGGCCGGUCGCGGGCACCGAGCAGGGAGAAGUAGCGUGACCCGUACUGCUUUGGAAGAAUCAUAGUCGUUUAACAAAAACAUUAAAUCAUGGCCUGGGGUCUCCCAUCUCUGAAAAUGUGUUUCUAAAGUGUAACAUGAUGAAGAACCUCUGUGUGCUUAAAAGACGGUUGACCUUCAGACAGCCUAGCAGUCAUCCUGAGAAGAGGCGUCCUUGUUUCUCUAGAGGGUGUGCCACAUGAGCACGUGUGUGAAUGUGCACGUGUGCGUGUGCGUGUGCGUGUGCAGUCAGACAGCGAGAAGCACACCACCGACAGGGCCUGUCCCACGGCAGUCCUUUCCUUCCAGCUCUCCAUCCUGCUAGAGUCCUGGGAAACUCGCAGAGCUGUACUCAACGCCUGGUCGGCUGUGUGGGACCUGGCUUCCUCUGCCCAGCACUGAACCACGUACUCUGUUCCUGACCUUUUUUCAUCAAAUAAUCUCUCUUUACACAAUUUGGAAAUUUAAAGUAUAAGAAAUCUUGGAGGAAGAGAUAAAUAAUUAGCAGCUGAAGAAUGACUCUGAUUAUCAGCAGUGAAAGAGAAAGACCAGGGGCUGCAUAAGUGGCAGCUCUGACUUCCUGAAGCUGAGAGGAGGAAGGCACCGGAAGCUACCUGGAUCCAAUUUGUGAAGAGUGUUUUGGUGCUUUGUACUCAUGGGAAAGCUCAUUGGUUGAGUUUUGUUAAUUUUUCUAAAAUUUCAAAUCCAUUUCUGCACUUCUGGCAGCCAGUAAUCAUGGCCAUGCAGUCACUUAGAGGUGAUUACACAGACCACAGGAGGGUUUUCCAGUGGGACCUUCCCUGGAAGAAAGGACGAUUGGGACCAGCAGUUAGUGUAAUGGCUAUGCCGCUGGACUCCCAUGUAGUCGACCGCGGUUCGAGUCCCGGACCCAGUGGCUUAAACUCACACCGGGCGCGUGUGCGUGCGUGCCCAAGAU